Molecule: unclassified non-coding RNA, 210 nt
Filed under: Hevea brasiliensis (rubber tree)
Lineage: Eukaryota; Viridiplantae; Streptophyta; Magnoliopsida; Malpighiales; Euphorbiaceae
Source: RNAcentral
AGGGGUAUUAUUAAUGCUACAAUUAAUCUCAUUUUGAAUUAAUUUCCUUCAACCUGGAACGGAAAAUGGAGGCUGCAGGAUGUAUCUGUAGAGUGUUAACCCUGAAUUUAUGCCCAAGACAUGCAAUUUAUUUCUAUAUAUGCAUGAAAUGUAUUAUGAAUUUCUUAAACAUAUGGUGUUAGAAUGUCACAAAAAGCCAAAAAUCCAAAU